UACGUAGGGGGCAAGCGUUGUCCGGAAUUAUUGGGCGUAAAGAGCGCGUAGGCGGUCCGAUAAGUCGGCUGUGAAAGUCCAGGGCUCAACCCUGGAAAGCCGGCCGAUACUGUCGGACUAGAGUCCGGAAGAGGCGAGUGGAAUUCCCGGUGUAGCGGUGAAAUGCGCAGAUAUCAGGAGGAACACCAAUAGCGAAGGCAGCUCGCUGGGACGUUACUGACACUGAGGCGCGAAAGCGUGGGGAGCGAACAGG
RNAcentral lists this ribosomal RNA (253 nucleotides) under uncultured bacterium. RNAcentral describes it as "partial 16S ribosomal RNA". It matches the Rfam family "Bacterial small subunit ribosomal RNA", at positions 524 to 776 of the family's 1533-position model. The record is from RNAcentral.